CAGUAGCCGCGGUAAUACCGAGGGUGCAAGCGUUAAUCGGAAUUACUGGGCGUAAAGCGCGCGUAGGUGGUUUGUUAAGUUGGAUGUGAAAGCCCCGGGCUCAACCUGGGAACUGCAUCCAAAACUGGCAAGCCAGAGUACGGUAGAGGGUGGUGGAAUUUCCUGUGUAGCGGUAAAAUGCGUAGAUAUAGGAAGGAACACCAGUGGCGAAGGCGACCACCUGGACUGAUACUGACACUGAGGUGCGAAAGCGUGGGGAGCAAACAGGAUUAGAUACCCCUGUAGUCCCUGUCUCUUAUAC
This 301-nucleotide ribosomal RNA is filed under the name uncultured bacterium. RNAcentral describes it as "partial 16S ribosomal RNA". It matches the Rfam family "Bacterial small subunit ribosomal RNA", at positions 509 to 807 of the family's 1533-position model. The record is from RNAcentral.